RNAcentral lists this transfer RNA (83 nucleotides) under Schistocephalus solidus. It matches the Rfam family "tRNA". From Rfam's summary of the family: Transfer RNA (tRNA) molecules are approximately 80 nucleotides in length. Their secondary structure includes four short double-helical elements and three loops (D, anti-codon, and T loops). Lineage: Eukaryota; Metazoa; Platyhelminthes; Cestoda; Diphyllobothriidea; Diphyllobothriidae. The record is from Rfam by way of RNAcentral.
GGCCUUGUAGCUCAGCUGGCUAGAGCGUUGGCUGUAUUAAGGCCUUCCGCUUGCUGGCCUGAGUUCGAAUCCCACCAUGGCCG